AUACGUAGGUGACAAGCGUUAUCCGGAUUUACUGGGCGAAAAGGGCGUGUAGGCGGUCUUGCAAGUCAGAAGUGAAAUUCCUGAGCUCAACUCGGGCGCUGCUUCUGAAACUGCAGGACUUGAGUGCUGGAGGGGAUAGCGGAAUUCCUAGUGGAGCGGUAAAAUGCGCAGAUAUUAGGAAGAACACCGGUGGCGAAGGCGGCUAUCUGAACAGUAACUAACGCUGAGGCGCGAAAGCGGGAGAGCAAACAUGAUGAGUUACCCUGGUAAUCCACACCGUAAACGAUGAAUACUAGGUGUAGGGGGUAACGACUCCCUCUGUGCCGCAGUUAACACAAUAAGUAUUCCGCCUGGGGAGUACGGCCGCAAGGUUGAAACUCAAAUGAAUUGACGGGG
Molecule: ribosomal RNA, 396 nt
Filed under: uncultured bacterium
Lineage: Bacteria
Description: partial 16S ribosomal RNA
Rfam family: Bacterial small subunit ribosomal RNA
Source: RNAcentral